CCUAUACAUGUCUGGGUAUCAAAAUUUUCGUAAUUGAAAGACGUAAUUGAUCGCAAUCUAACGAUUGCAUGCAAUAAUGAGGGUGUAAUUGAGUCUUUUAAACAAAAUUAUUGCAUUCGAAUUUAGAGAUAAUUCAGUCAGAAUAUCUUCGUAUACAGCACCACAGCACAUUCUGAUCUUGUAUGUUUCACACCGACUCACUCAAAUUACUCCAGCAACCCCAAUGCGCCGAAGAUCGCGGUUCGUCAUGGUUGUUGCAAUUACGCCUGAAACAGGAAAAGCUGCAAGCAAAAAAGAAGCUGAUGGCGAAGAAGAGCUCCUAGUCCCCAAAGGCAGCAGUAUGCAAUUGCUCUGGAUGGAACAUUCGGCAUUCAAUAAACAGAACAAUCCCAAUAAUUCUAAACUUUUC
This is a long non-coding RNA of Culex quinquefasciatus (southern house mosquito), 409 nucleotides long. RefSeq lists it as uncharacterized. The record is from RefSeq and is a predicted model, not a curated record. Lineage: Eukaryota; Metazoa; Arthropoda; Insecta; Diptera; Culicidae. The transcript has 2 exons.